This 250-nucleotide ribosomal RNA is filed under the name uncultured bacterium. RNAcentral's name for it is "partial 16S ribosomal RNA". It matches the Rfam family "Bacterial small subunit ribosomal RNA", at positions 524 to 773 of the family's 1533-position model. The record is from RNAcentral.
UACGGAGGGGGCUAGCGUUGUUCGGAAUUACUGGGCGUAAAGCGCACGUAGGCGGACUGGAAAGUUGGGGGUGAAAUCCCAGGGCUCAACCCUGGAACUGCCUUCAAAACUAUCAGUCUGGAGUUCGAGAGAGGUGAGUGGAAUUCCGAGUGUAGAGGUGAAAUUCGUAGAUAUUCGGAGGAACACCAGUGGCGAAGGCGGCUCACUGGCUCGAUACUGACGCUGAGGUGCGAAAGCGUGGGGAGCAAAC